RNAcentral lists this ribosomal RNA (250 nucleotides) under uncultured bacterium. Its description in RNAcentral is "partial 16S ribosomal RNA". It matches the Rfam family "Bacterial small subunit ribosomal RNA", at positions 355 to 622 of the family's 1533-position model. The record is from RNAcentral.
UGGGGAAUCUUAGACAAUGGGCGCAAGCCUGAUCUAGCCAUGCCGCGUGAGCGAUGAAGGCCUUAGGGUUGUAAAGCUCUUUCAGUGGGGAAGAUAAUGACUGUACCCACAGAAGAAGCCCCGGCUAACUCCGUGCCAGCAGCCGCGGUAAUACGGAGGGGGCUAGCGUUGUUCGGAAUUACUGGGCGUAAAGCGCACGUAGGCGGACCAGAAAGUAGGGGGUGAAAUCCCGGGGCUCAACCUCGGAACU